Molecule: ribosomal RNA, 253 nt
Filed under: uncultured bacterium
Lineage: Bacteria
Description: partial 16S ribosomal RNA
Rfam family: Bacterial small subunit ribosomal RNA
Source: RNAcentral
UACGAAGGGGGCUAGCGUUGCUCGGAUUGACUGGGCGUAAAGGGCGCGUAGGCGGUUUGCAUAGUCAGACGUGAAAUUCCUGGGCUUAACCUGGGGGCUGCGUUUGAUACAUGCAGGCUUGAGUUCGGAAGAGGGUCGUGGAAUUCCCAGUGUAGAGGUGAAAUUCGUAGAUAUUGGGAAGAACACCAGUGGCGAAGGCGGCUCACUGGAUCGGUACUGACGCUGAGGUGCGAAAGCGUGGGGAGCAAACAGG